Molecule: ribosomal RNA, 539 nt
Filed under: uncultured bacterium
Lineage: Bacteria
Description: bacterial SSU rRNA
Rfam family: Bacterial small subunit ribosomal RNA
Source: RNAcentral
AAUGAACGUUGGCGGCGUGGAUUAGGCAUGCAAGUCGAGCGGUAGGAGUUCUCUCACCCCGAUCAUUUAGCCUCCGGUCAAUGACCGGAGGUUAAGUGGGCGAGGUGAGAGGACUCUGAGAGCGGCGAAAGGGAGAGUAACGCGUAGUUACGUACCUCGAGGACCGGAAUAGCCACGGGAAACUGUGGGUAAUGCCGGAUAACAUCUACGGAUCAAAGGUGUGAUUCCGCCUCGAGAGCGGACUGCGUCCUACUAGCUAGUUGGCGGGGUAAUGGCCCACCAAGGCGACAAUGGGUAGCGGGCGUGAGAGCGUGGCCCGUCUCACUGGGACUGAGACACUGCCCAGACACCUACGGGUGGCUGCAGUCGAGAAUCUUCGGCAAUGCGCGCAAGCGUGACCGAGCGACGCCGCGUGCGGGAUGAAGGCCUUCGGGUUGUAAACCGCGAAAGUGAGGAGGAAAUCGCUAGGGGUUCUCCCCUAGUGUUGACCUAUUCACAGUAAGGACGGGCUAAGUACGUGCCAGCAGCCGCCGUAAUAC